Molecule: transfer RNA, 66 nt
Filed under: Spathosternum nigrotaeniatum
Lineage: Eukaryota; Metazoa; Arthropoda; Insecta; Orthoptera; Acrididae
Description: tRNA-Leu
Source: RNAcentral
ACUAUUUUGACAGAUUAAUGUGAUGAAUUUAGAAUUCAUUUAUGUAGUUUUAUUCUACAAAUAGUA